UAGGGAAUCUUCGGCAAUGGACGAAAGUCUGACCGAGCAACGCCGCGUGAGUGAAGAAGGUUUUCGGAUCGUAAAACUCUGUUGUUAGAGAAGAACAAGGACGUUAGUAACUGAACGUCCCCUGACGGUAUCUAACCAGAAAGCCACGGCUAACUACGUGCCAGCAGCCGCGGUAAUACGUAGGUGGCAAGCGUUGUCCGGAUUUAUUGGGCGUAAAGCGAGCGCAGGCGGUUUCUUAAGUCUGAUGUGAAAGCCCCCGGCUCAACCGGGGAGGGUCAGUGGAAACUGGGAGACUUGAGUGCAGAAGAGGAGAGUGGAAUUCCAGGUGUAGCGGUGAAAUGCGUAGAUAUAUGGAGGAACACCAGUGGCGAAGGCGGCUCUCUGGUCUGUAACUGACGCUGAGGCUCGAAAGCGUGGGGAGCAAACAGG
Molecule: ribosomal RNA, 429 nt
Filed under: Gemmatimonadota bacterium
Lineage: Bacteria; Pseudomonadati; Gemmatimonadota
Description: Gemmatimonadetes bacterium partial 16S ribosomal RNA
Rfam family: Bacterial small subunit ribosomal RNA
Source: RNAcentral